ACACUCACAAAGAGCCGAGGGGAGAGAGGGUGCGCAGACGGCCAGCCGGGCCGCGCCAGGGACAUACUGGAGACAGGAAGUGGCUGAGAGGGGGAGAGAGUUGGAGAGAGACGGCCGCGGAGGACACGGGGACGGGAAAGUCUGAGAGACGGGGAGAGCCUGACCCGGCGGGACACAGGCAGAAAGAAACACGCGAGCCAGACAGACGCAGAAGAAACGUGCCUGGUACUGGAUAGGAACUUCAUGGAAUGGAGCUAAUGGGCCGUAGGGCAGGUUUGAGUCGUGCCACCCUGGAGCAGAAGGUGGAGGGUAGGGAUAAGGGGGUGGAGCACCUGAUUCCAAUCUUGCCACAGGGAAGAAGAGUCUGUGAAGAACAUUCCUUAGGGUCUUUGGCUGGGCUCUGGGAUGGAUGCCAUGGGAGUACCUUUACUUAAGCUCUAAAGUUACCAAUGGAGAGACUGGGACUCAAAGAGGAACUUGAUUGGACCCCAGAGAGGGUGGAGAGAAACUAGGAGAAAAGCACAGGAUGUAGAGGUCUAUUCGGCAUAAUCUUCUCCCUCAUUUUCAUCUUCACCAUCAACAGAGAGAGCAGCAUACUUGCUUGCAGAACUGAACUUCUGUAACACAACGAGAGUGACAGGAUAAUGAAGGCCCUGAAUUAUCACAUCAAAACCCAAGACACAGGAUACUGAUCCUUUGGCAAUGGGGGAUGACAGUCAGAUGACACCCACUUGCUUGCUCAUCAGCAUUGUCCAUUGGAGAGGAGCUAGGGAAGAGGGUCAGAGGCACAUGCGAUCUUACUAUAGUCUCAUACCACCUCUACACCUUGCAGAAGGGAUGAGAACAAAGGAAGACAGAAACCAGGAAAAAGCUAAACUUCUUUCGCUAUUUCAGUAAAGACCAAUGUCUUAUUUCCAAACACUUUGUAUUCCAAAUGGAAAGAAGUCCAACGGCAAAAAGUUUAGAAUACUAAGAAUUUUUAAUUCUUAGUAAGAAUACUUAGAAUUCUAAGAAUUUUUCUUAGAAUGAAAAAUUGGGAGCAGCCUUCAACACUUACGGAAGCUGGAUUUUCCUCAGGUUUCUUUGGCUCAGGUGCAGAUCUGGAGUCUUGAUCCUUUUUGCCAUCUUUCCUGCAGAGACGUAAGCAUAAAACCAUGUCUUUAGGAAAGGACUCGCCUAAUACAAACAUGUGUAUGCAUGCAGUUUCAAGGCACUGAACAGGCACCUCUAGUCAACAGUCCUUGUUGUCUGGAUGAUGUAUUACUUCUAGAUUUUCAGAAUCUUAACUGUCUACGUUGGCUGACUUUAGUUUGCUCACAAUGAGCGAUCUGGCAGUGCUCUGAGAACCAAGAACUUAAUUUCUUAAUUACACAAACAUGUGGAUCAGAGGAAAGAUGAGAAAGAGAACAAGCAUACCUAUCUGACUCCUUCCAGUGGUCUCUGUUCCCUCCGUCGCCUGGACCACGGCUAGAGUUCCCAGUUUGGCCUUUUGGGGCAUUCAUCCCAUCUACUUUAUUUUCAUCUGCUUGGGCAGUAAUGUAAACAAAUUAAAGGCAAGUAAAAGUAUCAAUGUCCCUCUCCUAAGAUUUCCCUUAAGCUGAAGAAAAUUGUGCCCACAUGUACUGAGGGAAACUAACCUCACCCCAACCCAGACUUCCUUCCUGAAGCCCUUCUUUCCACAUCCUCUACAGCACACAAAAAUACAAAAAACAAACAAAAUCCACUAAAAAGUUCCAUGUAGGGAUAUGCCAUCAUGAAAAGCAAGCUGGAAAUAAAGAUUAUGACGCUCUGUAGUGACCUUG
This is a long non-coding RNA of Homo sapiens (human), 1802 nucleotides long. Ensembl annotates it as TNS2 antisense RNA 1. Its record names the gene TNS2-AS1. Lineage: Eukaryota; Metazoa; Chordata; Mammalia; Primates; Hominidae. The record is from Ensembl.